Molecule: ribosomal RNA, 516 nt
Filed under: uncultured bacterium
Lineage: Bacteria
Description: partial 16S ribosomal RNA
Rfam family: Bacterial small subunit ribosomal RNA
Source: RNAcentral
UGGGGAAUUUUGGACAAUGGGCGAAAGCCUGAUCCAGCAAUGCCGCGUGUGUGAAGAAGGCCUUCGGGUUGUAAAGCACUUUUGUCCGGAAAGAGAUCCUUGGCUCUAAUACAGUCGGGGGAUGACGGUACCGGAAGAAUAAGCACCGGCUAACUACGUGCCAGCAGCCGCGGUAAUACGUAGGGUGCAAGCGUUAAUCGGAAUUACUGGGCGUAAAGCGUGCGCAGGCGGUUUGCUAAGACCGAUGUGAAAUCCCCGGGCUCAACCUGGGAACUGCAUUGGUGACUGGCAGGCUAGAGUAUGGCAGAGGGGGGUAGAAUUCCACGUGUAGCAGUGAAAUGCGUAGAGAUGUGGAGGAAUACCGAUGGCGAAGGCAGCCCCCUGGGCCAAUACUGACGCUCAUGCACGAAAGCGUGGGGAGCAAACAGGAUUAGAUACCCUGGUAGUCCACGCCCUAAACGAUGUCAACUAGUUGUUGGGGAUUCAUUUCCUUAGUAACGUAGCUAACGCGUGAAG